AAAUAUACGGAUUUUGACAGCAAGGUGGAGUGGACUCAUUUAUUACCAACAUUUCUCCUUCCUCUUAUUCCUUCUACUUAGUUGUACGUGCCAACAAUAACAAACCUCUCUGAUUUCUACUCCUCUGUUUUUCUCUCUGUCUUUUAUUUCUCUAUAAAACAAAACAGUGCUAUGUUUGGUUUCUGCCCCCACAUAUAGAUAGAGAGAAAAUAUUUACUCACGUGUUUUGGAAUUCUGAACUUGUGGGGUUCAAGAUUAACAAGCUACUCCUCUCAUGGGUGGUGAAGGUUGGAAUCUUUGUAGUAGGGGUACUUCAAGUUCAAGUUCAGGGAUAUUUUCAUCCAUGAAGCUCUUGCUUUUCAUGUUGCCUCUUGUACUUGUUGCUGCACUAAUUUGUGUAAAGGGUCCUAACCCCUCAAGUUGGUUUCUAGUUACUACCAACCCACCUCUCUUAUUAAACUCUGUUAUUCCCUCUGCUUCAAAAAAUGGUAGUGGUGGUGGUGUGAGCACUAUGGAAUUGGAGGUCCCACCUGUGAAACAGAAAGAAGGGUUAGUGAUGGAAGGAGCUGUGGAUCUUAUAGGGGAAAAGAAGAAAGCUAUCCCUGAUGAUAACACUGCCUUCAAUCAGUCCUUUACUUCCCAAGUUUCAGUUCAGGAUCAGGACAUAGCAGGAACACCUCCUGAACCACCUGCUAACAAAAAUGAAGAAGGUUUCAAUGUCUCCAAAAAUUUGCCUAACAUGGCCCCUGAGAAUGAAUCUUAUGUUCCUCCAGAGAGACCAAAGCAGCAGAGGAAGUAUAGCAUCUUAGAUAGAACAGAAGCUGGGCUACUACAAGCUAGAGCUGCAAUAAGAGAAGCAAGAAAUGGGAACCAAACACAAGAUAUGGACUAUGUUCCUGUUGGACCAAUGUAUCAUAAAGCUAAUGCAUUUCACAGAAGUUACUUAGAAAUGGAGAAACAGUUCAAGGUAUUUGUCUAUGAAGAAGGGGAGGUACCAAUUUUCCAUAAUGGACCUUGCAGAAGCAUAUAUUCAUCAGAGGGAAAUUUCAUCAAUGCUAUUGACAUGAAUGACCAUUUCAGAACAAGGGAUCCUGAAAAAGCACACGUAUUUUUCCUUCCUUUCAGUAUAACAAAUAUGGUCCAAUAUCUCUAUGUACCUGAUUCUCUUGAUCGUAGCCCCAUACAAAAAACUGUGAAGGACUAUGUCAAUCUCAUUGUUCAAAGAUACCCCUUUUGGAACAGAAGCCUAGGAGCUGAUCACUUCAUGCUUUCUUGCCAUCAGGGGCGGACCCACAGCCAAGUCAGGGGUUCAGAUGAACCCCCUGAAAAAAAGAAAAAUUCUACUUACCCCCUGUUAUGUUUUUUUUUUGAACCCCCUGAGAAAUUUAAUUUGCACCCAGACCCCAACUUACUCCUCUCUCUCACACACACUCACAGAGUCACAGACUCACGCUCUCACCCUCUCACGAUUCACGCUCACCACGCCCUCACUCUCUCGCAUUCUCACUAGGUCAUCAAGAUUCAAACACGCACGACACGGCGCAUCACCACCGGCCACCACCACGCCACGCCACCACCGUCCACCAGUCCAGCCGCCCCUCUGCGGCUCUACCCUAGGUGCUGGAGUUGUUGGGUUUCAAUCUAGGAUGGUGGAUAUGGGAUUUGCAGAUCUGGAUGGUUACUGUUAUGGGUGUAUUUGGGAGGUUUGGGUUUGAAGUAGAAGGUUAAUUCUUGGGGCUACUUGUGGCUCAUUGGGGUAGCUAUGGGGGUUGUGGUUUUUUUUUUGCUGCAGUUGCAAAACCACAGCGAAGCACCUGUAAUUGAUGAAUUACUUUGUCAAAUGCAUCCCUUUCAUUUUUUCAAUGCAGGACCUAGAACCAAAUAAGCAUGUGUUAAAUGAAUUUUUAGAUUUGAUUUGAAUUGUUCAAGAACAAUUUCAAGUUUCAACGAUGGGUGAUGAAAAAUUGUGGACAGUGGGUGGUUGAAUUUGGUUUUUAAUUCAGCAGGUGAAACUGUGAGUUGUGUUCUUCCAUAAUUAAUUAGAUAAUUUCAAGGGUGAUGGUAUUUUCAAGGGUGGUAAUUGUAAUCCAGCGGAAGUAUUUGAAAAGAGUAAAUAGAGGGCAUGGGAGUGGUUGCGGGCCAGGGAUAAGGAUUUCCUACAUGCUUUUGGAGAAUGGUAUUGCGUGUAUUGCUGAUGAGUUGAGGAUGAUAUUGCUGCAGCAGGAAGGAAAUUUUUAAUCUGAUUAAUGAGUGAUAUGGUUUUGAUGUUAUUGGAAAGGUCAAAGGAGUAGUAAGGUAAGGUAUGAAUAGAUGCAGCGUGUUUAAAUGCUGGGAGACUCUGGCAUCUGAAUUUCAAUUGGCAUGGUGCGGACUAGAAGUGCAUCUUGGAAUUCAUGAAGCUUUGUUAUACAUUGUUGGGAUUCAUUAGCGAUAUUGGGGGCAUGGUCUUGAUAACAAUAUGAUAUGUGGCUUUUAAUUGUGAGGAUCUAUGUGAGAAGAAGGUUGAUAGUUUUGCAGGGUUCAUUCUUGGGCAUUUGGCAGAGUUGCGUCAGCUUAAUUGGUUGGUGAAUUUCCAUGGCUAAAAUUGCUGGUGUUAGGAAUCAGCUUUGGCAUUUGAAGAUAGUCUAGACUAUAGUACUCCUUGGAGGUAUCUCUAUGGCUUAAGUAAUUUAGUACUCUUUUUAGUGGUGUAUAAUAAAUCAGUCCUUCUAUUCUAGUCUAUUGUAGUGGGAUUGAUUAAUUUAAUUUCACUUUUGAUGACAAAAAAAAAGUGUGCUUGUAGUCUUCAUUUAAUUACAUUUUUAUCGAUUUACUCAUUUGAAAAAUUUGAACCCCCUGACCCCGGGGUCCUGGAUCCGCCACUGCUUGCCAUGAUUGGGUACAUAGAUAACUAGUGUUACUUAUGCAUAAAUCACAACCCCUUCAUUGUUGAUUUAAGAAAGACUCAUACUAAGUACAUAUAUUUGUCUUUGUAAUCCUUCUA
RNA transcript from Lotus japonicus, 2983 nucleotides. It is a transcript of the gene named probable glycosyltransferase At5g03795, with no coding region annotated. NCBI's taxonomy places the organism in Eukaryota, Viridiplantae, Streptophyta, Magnoliopsida, Fabales, Fabaceae. The transcript has 4 exons. The record is from RefSeq and is a predicted model, not a curated record.